RNAcentral lists this ribosomal RNA (1209 nucleotides) under Listeria monocytogenes. RNAcentral's name for it is "partial 23S ribosomal RNA". It matches the Rfam family "Bacterial large subunit ribosomal RNA", at positions 408 to 1614 of the family's 2925-position model. Lineage: Bacteria; Bacillati; Bacillota; Bacilli; Caryophanales; Listeriaceae. The record is from RNAcentral.
CUGAGUACGGCGGAACACGUGAAAUUCCGUCGGAAUCCGGGAGGACCAUCUCCCAAGGCUAAAUACUCCCUAGUGACCGAUAGUGAACCAGUACCGUGAGGGAAAGGUGAAAAGCACCCCGGAAGGGGAGUGAAACAGUUCCUGAAACCGUGUGCCUACAAGUAGUUAGAGCCCGUUAAUGGGUGAUAGCGUGCCUUUUGUAGAAUGAACCGGCGAGUUACGAUUUGUUGCAAGGUUAAGCGGAAAAAGCGGAGCCGUAGCGAAAGCGAGUCUGAAUAGGGCGCAUAAGUAACAGGUCGUAGACCCGAAACCAGGUGAUCUACCCAUGUCCAGGAUGAAGGUAAGGUAAUACUUACUGGAGGUCCGAACCCACGCACGUUGAAAAGUGCGGGGAUGAGGUGUGGGUAGCGGAGAAAUUCCAAUCGAACUUGGAGAUAGCUGGUUCUCUCCGAAAUAGCUUUAGGGCUAGCCUCGAGGUAAAGAGUCAUGGAGGUAGAGCACUGUUUGGACUAGGGGCCCUUCUCGGGUUACCGAAUUCAGAUAAACUCCGAAUGCCAUGUACUUAUACUCGGGAGUCAGACUGCGAGUGAUAAGAUCCGUAGUCGAAAGGGAAACAGCCCAGACCACCAGUUAAGGUCCCCAAAUAUAUGUUAAGUGGAAAAGGAUGUGGGGUUGCUUAGACAACCAGGAUGUUGGCUUAGAAGCAGCCACCAUUGAAAGAGUGCGUAAUAGCUCACUGGUCGAGUGACCCCGCGCCGAAAAUGUACCGGGGCUAAACAUAUUACCGAAACUGUGGAUGAACCUCUUUAGAGGUUCGUGGUAGGAGAGCGUUCUAAGGGCGGUGAAGUCAGACCGGAAGGACUGGUGGAGCGCUUAGAAGUGAGAAUGCCGGUAUGAGUAGCGAAAGAAGGGUGAGAAUCCCUUCCACCGAAUAUCUAAGGUUUCCUGAGGAAGGCUCGUCCGCUCAGGGUUAGUCGGGACCUAAGCCGAGGCCGAUAGGCGUAGGCGAUGGACAACAGGUAGAGAUUCCUGUACCAGUGCUAAUUGUUUAACCGAUGGGGUGACACAGAAGGAUAGGGAAUCGCACGAAUGGAAAUGUGCGUCCAAGCAGUGAGUGUGAGAAGUAGGCAAAUCCGCUUCUCGCGAAGCAUGAGCUGUGAUGGGGAAGGAAAUUAAGUACGGAAGUUCCUGAUUUCACGCUGUCAAGAA